GGCCAGACUCCUACGGGAGGCAGCAGUGGGGGAUAUUGCACAAUGGGGGGAACCCUGAUGCAGCGACGCCGCGUGGGUGAAGGAGCGUUUCGGCGCGUAAAGCCCUAUCGGCAGGGAAGAAGGAGGACGGUACCUGACUAAGAAGCCCCGGCUAACUACGUGCCAGCAGCCGCGGGAAUACGUAGGGGGCAAGCGUUAUCCGGAUUUACUGGGUGUAAAGGGGGCGCAGACGGCAGCGCAAGCCAGGAGUGAAAGCCCGGGGCCCAACCCCGGGACUGCAUUUGGAACUGUGUAGCUGGAGUGUCGGAGAGGCAGGCGGAAUUCCUAGUGUAGCGGUGAAAUGCGUAGAUAUUAGGAGGAACACCAGUGGCGAAGGCGGCCUGCUGGACGAUGACUGACGUUGAGGCUCGAAAGCGUGGGGAGCAAACAGGAUUAGAUACCCCUGUAGA
Molecule: ribosomal RNA, 449 nt
Filed under: uncultured bacterium
Lineage: Bacteria
Description: partial 16S ribosomal RNA
Rfam family: Bacterial small subunit ribosomal RNA
Source: RNAcentral